CACUGUGGAUGACCGCAGUGGCUCCAGGUAG
RNAcentral lists this small RNA (31 nucleotides) under Bombyx mori (domestic silkworm). Its description in RNAcentral is "ovarian small RNA-13068". Lineage: Eukaryota; Metazoa; Arthropoda; Insecta; Lepidoptera; Bombycidae. The record is from RNAcentral.